This 389-nucleotide ribosomal RNA is filed under the name uncultured bacterium. RNAcentral describes it as "bacterial SSU rRNA". It matches the Rfam family "Bacterial small subunit ribosomal RNA", at positions 29 to 419 of the family's 1533-position model. The record is from RNAcentral.
AUUGAACGCUGGCGGCAUGCCUUACACAUGCAAGUCGAACGGUAACGCGGGGGCAACCCUGGCGACGAGUGGCGAACGGGUGAGUAAUACAUCGGAACGUACCCAGUAGUGGGGGAUAGCUCGGCGAAAGCCGGAUUAAUACCGCAUACGACCUAUGGGUGAAAGCGGGGGAUCGCAAGACCUCGCGCUAUUGGAGCGGCCGAUGUCGGAUUAGCUAGUUGGUGAGGUAAAAGCUCACCAAGGCUACGAUCCGUAGCUGGUCUGAGAGGACGACCAGCCACACUGGAACUGAGACACGGCCCAGACUCCUACGGGAGGCAGCAGUGGGGAAUUUUGGACAAUGGGCGAAAGCCUGAUCCAGCCAUGCCGCGUGUGUGAAGAAGGCCUGG